GAUUAGUGGCGAACGGGUGAGUAACACGUGAGUAACCUGCCCCUCACUUCGGGAUAACCAUUGGAAACGGUGGCUAAUACUGGGUAUGACAUCUGGCCGCAUGGUCUGGGUGUGGAAAGCUUUUGUGGUGAGGGAUGGGCUCGCGGCCUAUCAGCUUGUUGGUGGGGUGAUGGCCUACCAAGGCGACGACGGGUAGCCGGCCUGAGAGGGCGACCGGCCACACUGGGACUGAGACACGGCCCAGACUCCUACGGGAGGCAGCAGUGGGGAAUAUUGCACAAUGGGCGAAAGCCUGAUGCAGCGACGCCGCGUGGGGGAUGAAGGCCUUCGGGUUGUAAACCCCUUUCAGUAGGGAAGAAGCGCAAGUGACGGUACCUGCAGAAGAAGCGCCGGCUAACUACGUGCCAGCAGCCGCGGUAAUACGUAGGGCGCAAGCGUUGUCCGGAAUUAUUGGGCGUAAAGAGCUCGUAGGCGG
This 475-nucleotide ribosomal RNA is filed under the name Streptomyces sp. Act11. RNAcentral describes it as "bacterial SSU rRNA". It matches the Rfam family "Bacterial small subunit ribosomal RNA", at positions 90 to 578 of the family's 1533-position model. The record is from RNAcentral. RNAcentral also lists the same sequence under 1 other name. Lineage: Bacteria; Bacillati; Actinomycetota; Actinomycetes; Kitasatosporales; Streptomycetaceae.